This 497-nucleotide ribosomal RNA is filed under the name uncultured bacterium. RNAcentral's name for it is "partial 16S ribosomal RNA". It matches the Rfam family "Bacterial small subunit ribosomal RNA", at positions 28 to 507 of the family's 1533-position model. The record is from RNAcentral.
GAUGAACGCUGGCGGCGUGCCUAAUACAUGCAAGUCGAGCGAACAGACGAGGAGCUUGCUCCUCUGACGUUAGCGGCGGACGGGUGAGUAACACGUGGAUAACCUACCUAUAAGACUGGGAUAACUUCGGGAAACCGGAGCUAAUACCGGAUAAUAUAUUGAACCGCAUGGUUCGAUAGUGAAAGACGGUUUUGCUGUCACUUAUAGAUGGAUCCGCGCCGCAUUAGCUAGUUGGUAAGGUAACGGUUUACCAAGGCAACGAUGCGUAGCCGACCUGAGAGGGUGAUCGGCCACACUGGAACUGAGACACGGUCCAGACUCCUACGGGAGGCAGCAGUAGGGAAUCUUCCGCAAUGGGCGAAAGCCUGACGGAGCAACGCCGCGUGAGUGAUGAAGGUCUUCGGAUCGUAAAACUCUGUUAUUAGGGAAGAACAAAUGUGUAAGUAACUAUGCACGUCUUGACGGUACCUAAUCAGAAAGCCACGGCUAACUACGUG